This 377-nucleotide unclassified non-coding RNA is filed under the name plant metagenome. RNAcentral's name for it is "partial contains 5.8S ribosomal RNA, internal transcribed spacer 2, and large subunit ribosomal RNA". The stretch from base 1 to 104 matches the Rfam family "5.8S ribosomal RNA", at positions 51 to 154 of the family's 154-position model. The record is from RNAcentral.
AAAUGCGCUAAGUAAUGUGCAUUGCAGAAUUCGGUGAAUCAUCGAAUCUUUGAACGCACCUUGCGCUCCUUGGUAUUCCUUGGAGCAUGCCUGUUUGAGUAUCAUGAAAUCUUCAAAGUAAAUCUUUUGUUAACUCAAUUGGUUUCUACUUUGGUAUUGGAGGUCUUUGCAGCUUCACACCUGCUCCUCUUUGUUCAUUAGCUGGAUCUCAGUGUUAUGCUUGGUUCCACUCGGCGUGAUAAGUUAUCUAUCGCUGAGGACACUGUAAAAGGUGGCCAAGGUAAAUGCAGAUGAACCGCUUCUAAUAGUCCAUUGACUUGGACAAUACUUUUAUGAUCUGAUCUCAAAUCAGGUAGGACUACCCGCUGAACUUAAGC